CAAGGGCGUAUAUUAAUGUUGUUGCAGUUAAAAAGCUCGUAGUUGGAUUUCUGGUGGGAGCGAUUGGUCUGCCCCGCGAGGGGUAUGUUACCGGUUCGUAUCCGGCCCUAUUCGGGUUGAUCGUGGCUGGCAUUAAUUUGUCGGUGCGGGAUGCCCGUCGUUUACUGUGAACAAAUUAGAGUGUUCAAAGCAAGGUGUUCUUGAAUACAUUAGCAUGGAAUAAUGAGAUAGGACUUUUGCCUCUUCUGUUGGUCAUGAGGCUCGAGUAAUGAUUAAUAGGGAUAGUUGGGGGCAUUAGUACUUAACUGUCAGAGGUGAAAUUCUCGGAUUUGUUAAAGACUAACUUAUGCGAAAGCAUUUGCCAAGGAUGUUUUCAUUA
Molecule: ribosomal RNA, 379 nt
Filed under: uncultured eukaryote
Lineage: Eukaryota
Description: partial 18S ribosomal RNA
Rfam family: Eukaryotic small subunit ribosomal RNA
Source: RNAcentral